Molecule: long non-coding RNA, 1702 nt
Organism: Cyprinus carpio carpio
Lineage: Eukaryota; Metazoa; Chordata; Actinopteri; Cypriniformes; Cyprinidae
Source: Ensembl
GAAAUACGUACCUCUGCACACUUUUUUGCAGCGCCACAAGUAUGUACAUAUUGCUACAGUUUUGAAACACAAACGUCCACUGGGGUCGCUAAAGAGAAGGACUGCAUGUGACAUUGCAAUCGACAGUAAGAGCAGAGGUUCCAGUCAUAUCAAAGAGGAAGAAGAGUAAAGUUUUUUUUUUUUUAGCCUAUCAAGGAACAGGAGAUUUGAAGAUCAUCUGUAAUCUCACUAUCUUUCUGCCUCUUGCAGUAAAACGCAGACAGGUGUUAAAAAAUAAAUGACUGAGAGAGUCAUCUGAUCAGCCUAUACCAGAGAAAAAUACGGAGGAGGAAUUACACCGUGAUCUUGAGGAAAUAAUGGCUGAUUUGGAGGAGAUGCACCUCCGAACAUGUUUAGGGGCGAGAUAUUUGCAUACCCUCUGUUUCUGAAGAAGGAACUGGCCACAAAAACAAACUGCAAGUUCUUCUGCACUGACAUCAUGUGUCAAUAUUGGUCCUAUCUGCAAGAGGUGGCUCAAGCAUUCCCAGAAAUGGAAAACUUGACUCAGAUGAAGCCAUUUCUCUCAGUUAUGAAUGCAAAGGGGCACGCUACAAAUUGUGAGACUAUCCAAAAGACAAAAGGAAGUCAAAGAGGACAUUGAGGCUAUAAAGAAGUGCACGCAAAGGUCUGAUGAGGAACUGCAACAGUGGGUCAUUGAUGUGACACAGUGGGCAGUUGACACACCAGAUGACCUCAGAACAGAUGAUCCAGUGGCGUUGCAACAUCUGAUUGAAGGCCUAUUCUUGGGCAUCCAGCAGAAAAAGAGGAAUCUAUAUCGAGUAACCGACCGUAACAAACAGCGACACAAGAUCCGAAGAUGGAUUAGAGAGGAUAAGAAAAAGCUGUUUAAUGCCAUAUCCCAAUACAAUGAUCUUCCAACCACCACAGAAUCUGUAGAUUCAGUUGAAGACCUUCUGGCAACAGAAAGCCCUAUCUGGCCUUGGGAUUCUGAACCUGACACUUCCUUAGGCAUGAAGAAGAAGGUUUUUGACAAGGUGAUGUAGCUGGAGAGACUGAUUGAGGAAGAGGCUAUAAUUUUAGAGGAAAUGAAACAACAUUGGACUCAUCUUACAAGAACCUGCAGGGCCUUGAAGGACCAGGCUAAUGUACUAUCAGAUGACCUGGCCACACAGAACCUGGAGUUCGGGGUUAGAGGUUAUUUCCUGUAUAGAAGAAAGGAAGCUGACAGUAUGUGUGCACAUGUAAUCCAUCUGUUGUUAGCACUAGAAGCAAUGUCUUUUCACUCUGUCAUGUAAGAUGAUGUUGAAAGCCACAGUAAACAGCAAGAAAUCGCUCACUACGACUUGUCGUCAUUUUGCAUCAGAGUUAGCUGGCUGUAUAGCUACAGUUGCUACACUGCAACUACCCUUCAGGACUGUCUGGUCAAGCUUACCAUGGCCUGCACAGUGCUGUCCUCCAAAAAUGUGAGGAGCUCAAAACAGACCUGGUACCUGUGAAAGAAACCUACUCCCAAAUAGUGGUAAAUGGGAAUGGUGGAACUGUUGUUGAAGAAGAUGAAGACCCAUAUGAGCAUGUCUCCACAGAUGCCUCUACAGAUGAUGAAUUAUAGAUUCUCUCUUCUCCACUGCACAAACUGGUCUCCUGACUCUGAGUAGCUCAAGUUAGCUCUCCCCAUUGUAAAUAAUAAAAACUUGAACCUGAA